UACAGAGGGGGCAAGCGUUGUUCGGAAUUACUGGGCGUAAAGGGCGCGUAGGCGCCUGUUAAGUCGAACGUGAAAUCCCCGGGCUCAACCCGGGAACUGCGUCCGAUACUGGCAGGCUUGAAUCCGGGAGAGGGAUGCGGAAUUCCAGGUGUAGCGGUGAAAUGCGUAGAUAUCUGGAGGAACACCGGUGGCGAAGGCGGCGAUCC
This 206-nucleotide ribosomal RNA is filed under the name uncultured bacterium. RNAcentral describes it as "partial 16S ribosomal RNA". It matches the Rfam family "Bacterial small subunit ribosomal RNA", at positions 524 to 730 of the family's 1533-position model. The record is from RNAcentral.